AGCAGCCGCGGUAAUUCCAGCUCCAAUAGCGUAUAUUAAAGUUGUUGCAGUUAAAAAGCUCGUAGUUGAAUUUCGGAAUCUGUCCGUUGGUCGGGCUUCAUUGUCCGUACUGGUGUGAUGGGUUCUUACCUUCUGAAUAACCAGCAUGCCAUUCAUUUGGUGCGUUGGGGAAGCAGGACUAUUACCUUGAAAAAAUUAGAGUGCUCAAAGCAGGCUAGUGCCUGAAUACAUUAGCAUGGAAUAAUAAAAUAGGACGGCAUGGUUCUACUUUGUUGGUUUCUAGGAUCACCGUAAUGAUUAAUAGGGAUAGUUGGGGGCAUUAGUAUUCAAUUGUCAGAGGUGAAAUUCUUGGAUUUAUUGAAGACUAACUUCCGCGAAAGCAUUUGCCAAGGAUGUUUUCAUUAAUCAAGAACGAAAGUUAGGGGAUCGAAGACGAUCAGAUACCGUCGUAGUCUUAACCAUAAACUAUGCCGACUAGGGAUCNNNCGAUGUUAAUUUUUUAAUGACUCG
RNAcentral lists this ribosomal RNA (510 nucleotides) under uncultured Glomeromycotina. RNAcentral describes it as "SSU rRNA". It matches the Rfam family "Eukaryotic small subunit ribosomal RNA", at positions 569 to 1078 of the family's 1831-position model. The record is from RNAcentral. Lineage: Eukaryota; Fungi; Glomeromycota.